GAUGAACGCUGGCGGCGUGCUUAACACAUGCAAGUCGAACGAAGCACCUUAUUCUGAUUUCUUCGGAAUGAAAAAUUUGGUGACUGAGUGGCGGACGGGUGAGUAACGCGUGGGUAACCUGCCUCGUACAGGGGGAUAACAGUUAGAAAUGACUGCUAAUACCGCAUAAGACCACAGCACCGCAUGGUGCAGGGGUAAAAACUCCGGUGGUAUGAGAUGGACCCGCGUCUGAUUAGGUAGUUGGUGGGGUAACGGCCUACCAAGCCGACGAUCAGUAGCCGACCUGAGAGGGUGACCGGCCACUUUGGGACUGAGACACGGCCCAAACUCCUACGGGAGGCAGCAGUGGGGAAUAUUGCACAAUGGGGGAAACCCUGAUGCAGCGACGCCGCGUGAGCGAUGAAGUAUUUCGGUAUGUAAAGCUCUAUCAGCAGGGAAGAAAAUGACGGUACCUGACUAAGAAGCACCGGCUACAUACGUGCCAGCCGCCGCAGUAA
RNAcentral lists this ribosomal RNA (497 nucleotides) under uncultured bacterium. RNAcentral's name for it is "partial 16S ribosomal RNA". It matches the Rfam family "Bacterial small subunit ribosomal RNA", at positions 28 to 523 of the family's 1533-position model. The record is from RNAcentral.